AGUCGAACGCGAAAGUGGAGCAAUCCAUGAGUAGAGUGGCAAACGGGUGAGUAACGCGUGGGUGACCUGCCUUCGAGUGGGGGAUAACGUUCCGAAAGGGACGCUAAUACCGCAUGACAUCCAGCCUUUGAAGAGGCGGAGAUCAAAGCCGGGGAUCGCAAGACCUGGCGCUCGAUGAGGGGCCCGCGUCUGAUUAGCUAGUUGGUGGGGUAACGGCUCACCAAGGCAACGAUCAGUAUCCGGCCUGAGAGGGCGGACGGACACACUGGGACUGAGACACGGCCCAGACUCCUACGGGAGGCAGCAGUGGGGAAUUGUUCGCAAUGGGCGCAAGCCUGACGACGCAACGCCGCGUGGAGGAUGAAGAUCUUCGGGUCGUAAACUCCUUUCGAUCGAGACGAAUAGCUUCCGGGUAAACAAUCCGGAGGUUUGACGGUACCGAGAGAAGAAGCCCCGGCUAACUCCGUGCCAGCAGCCGCGGUAAUACGGGGGGGGCAAGCGUUGUUCGGAAUUACUGGGCGUAAAGGGCUCGUAGGCGGCCAACUAAGUCAGACGUGAAAUCCCUCGGCUUAACCGGGGAACUGCGUCUGAUACUGGAUGGCUUGAGUUUGGGAGAGGGAUGCGGAAUUCCAGGUGUAGCGGUGAAAUGCGUAGAUAUCUGGAGGAACACCGGUGGCGAAGGCGGCAUCCUGGACCAACACUGACGCUGAGUGAGCGAAAGCCAGGGGAGCAAACGGGAUUAGAUACCCCGGUAGUCCUGGCCCUAAACGAUGAAUGCUUGGUGUGGCGGGUAUCGAUCCCUGCCGUGCCGAAGCUAACGCAUUAA
This 826-nucleotide ribosomal RNA is filed under the name uncultured Pseudomonadota bacterium. RNAcentral's name for it is "bacterial SSU rRNA". It matches the Rfam family "Bacterial small subunit ribosomal RNA", at positions 60 to 863 of the family's 1533-position model. The record is from RNAcentral. Lineage: Bacteria; Pseudomonadati; Pseudomonadota.